Molecule: long non-coding RNA, 313 nt
Filed under: Dermacentor andersoni
Lineage: Eukaryota; Metazoa; Arthropoda; Arachnida; Ixodida; Ixodidae
Description: uncharacterized LOC126534084
Source: RNAcentral
GGACCCUUCGGCAGCGUGAUGGUAGGUACUGGGCCGACAGGUGGAGGGAAGCGAAACCUAGGUGGUGUUCCUAGCGCCUUCUUCGGUGGGGAGGUCUUGUCUCCACUCUUUUUUGCAGGCGGUUUUCCUAGCGCCUGCUUCGGUGGGGAGGUCUUGUCUCCACUCUUUUUUGCAGGCGGUUUUCCUAGCGCCUGCUUCGGUGGGGAGGUCUUGUCUCCACUCUUUUUUGCAGGCGGUUUUCCUAGCGCCUGCUUCGGUGGGGAGGUCUGGUCUCCACCCUUUUUUGCAGUCAAAGGUACGACCAGCUUCCUCU